Molecule: ribosomal RNA, 464 nt
Filed under: Semisulcospira fuscata
Lineage: Eukaryota; Metazoa; Mollusca; Gastropoda; Semisulcospiridae
Description: partial 16S ribosomal RNA
Source: RNAcentral
GAAAUUUCAUUCGCACUAGUGAUAGCUAGUUUUUCUGGAAAGAUAUAAAAGUGUCGGGAAAAGAUAUAAUUCUAUAAUAUUAAUCAUUAUAUAUUACAUAUGCUUUUCACUAAUUUUUUUGAGGAUAAGCUCAAAAAAGAGUUAAGAAUUUUUUAAUUAAAUUUACUGUAUGGGCUUAAAAUUGGUCAAUAUAAAAGUUUUUUAUAAAAUAGUAACCUUAGUCUUAUAAAUAAAUAUAAUUUUAACUAACUUUUUACAGAGACAAAAACUUUAAUUUAAAUAAGUUUUAUGCCUAUGCUAGAAUGAGUAUUAAAACUUAAUUAUGAAAGAUUUAUUUGUAUCUUCCUAAAAAAAAAAUUAAAAAAGUUAAUUAAUUAGAAGGAACUCGGCAAAUUUAGUUGUUUCGCCUGUUUAUCAAAAACAUGGCUCUUUGAUUAUAUAAAUAUAAAGAGUCGGACCUGCCC